GACGAACGCUGGCGGCGUGCUUAACACAUGCAAGUCGAACGAUGAAGAAAAGAAUUGAAGCUUCGGCAGAAAUUCAUUUCGGAUUAGUGGCAGACGGGUGAGUAACGCGUGAGCAACCUACCUCUUACAAAGGGAUAGCCUCGGGAAACCGGGAUUAAUACCAUAUAACAUUGCGACGAAGCAUUUCGAUGCAAUCAAAGCUACGGCGGUAAGAGAUGGGCUCGCGUCCCAUUAACCAGAUGGUGAGGUAACGGCUCACCAUAGUAACGAUGGGUAACCGGCCUGAGAGGGUGAACGGUCACACUGGAACUGAGACACGGUCCAGACUCCUACGGGAGGCAGCAGUGGGGAAUAUUGCACAAUGGGGGGAACUCUGAUGCAGCGACGCCGCGUGAGUGAUGAAGGAAUUCGUUUCGUAAAACUCUGUUCUAUGGGAAGAAAAGGACUGUACCAUAGGAGAAAGCUCCGGCUAAAUACGUG
RNAcentral lists this ribosomal RNA (480 nucleotides) under uncultured bacterium. RNAcentral describes it as "partial 16S ribosomal RNA". It matches the Rfam family "Bacterial small subunit ribosomal RNA", at positions 28 to 507 of the family's 1533-position model. The record is from RNAcentral.